Molecule: ribosomal RNA, 516 nt
Filed under: uncultured bacterium
Lineage: Bacteria
Description: bacterial SSU rRNA
Rfam family: Bacterial small subunit ribosomal RNA
Source: RNAcentral
UGGCGGCGCGUUUAAGCAUGCAAGUCGAGCGCGGGAAGCGGACAAUCACCCUUCGGGGUGUGCGUCCGUGGAACGAGCGGCGGAUGGUGAGUAUCACGUGGGCAACCUGCCUGUAAGAUUGGGAUAACUCGCGGAAACGUGAGCUAAUACCGAAUGAAGUCUUUCACCGCCUGGUGAAAGGAUGAAAGAUGGCUCUUGAGCUAUCACUUACAGAUGGGCCCGCGGCGCAUUAGCUAGUUGGUGGGGUAAAGGCCUACCAAGGCGACGAUGCGUAGCCGACCUGAGAGGGUGAUCGGCCACACUGGGACUGAGACACGGCCCAGACUCCUACGGGAGGCAGCAGUAGGGAAUCUUCCGCAAUGGACGAAAGUCUGACAGAGCAACGCCGCGUGAGCGAAUGAAGGUCUUCGGAUCGUAAAACUCUGUUGUCAGGGAAGAACAAGUUGUGUUCUAACAGGACAUGACCUUGACGGUACCUGACCAGAAAGCCCCGGCUAACUACGUGCCAGCAGCAGC